Molecule: ribosomal RNA, 445 nt
Filed under: uncultured bacterium
Lineage: Bacteria
Description: bacterial SSU rRNA
Rfam family: Bacterial small subunit ribosomal RNA
Source: RNAcentral
GCCAGACUCCUACGGGAGGCAGCAGUGGGGGAUAUUGCACAAUGGGGGAAACCCUGAUGCAGCGACGCCGCGUGAGUGAAGAAGUAUUUCGGUAUGUAAAGCUCUAUCAGCAGGGAAGAAAAUGACAGUACCUGACCAAGAAGCCCCGGCUAACUACGUGCCAGCAGCCGCGGUAAUACGUAGGGGGCAAGCGUUAUCCGGAUUUAUUGGGUUUAAAGGGUGCGCAGGCGGAAUGUCAAGUCAGCGGUAAAAUUUCGGGGCUCAACCCCGUCGUGCCGUUGAAACUGGCGUUCUUGAGUGAGCGAGAAGUAUGCGGAAUGCGUGGUGUAGCGGUGAAAUGCAUAGAUAUCACGCAGAACCCCGAUUGCGAAGGCAGCCUUCCGGCGCCCUACUGACGCUGAGGCACGAAAGUGCGGGGAUCGAACAGGAUUAGAUACCCCUGUAC